UACGAAGGGGGCUAGCGUUGUUCGGAUUUACUGGGCGUAAAGCGCACGUAGGCGGAUCGAUCAGUCAGGGGUGAAAUCCCAGAGCUCAACUCUGGAACUGCCUUUGAUACUGUCGAUCUGGAGUAUGGAAGAGGUGAGUGGAAUUCCGAGUGUAGAGGUGAAAUUCGUAGAUAUUCGGAGGAACACCAGUGGCGAAGGCGGCUCACUGGCCCGGUACUGACGCUGAGGCACGAAAGCGUGGGGAGCAAACAGG
Molecule: ribosomal RNA, 253 nt
Filed under: uncultured bacterium
Lineage: Bacteria
Description: partial 16S ribosomal RNA
Rfam family: Bacterial small subunit ribosomal RNA
Source: RNAcentral